CUGCCUGCCUCCCUGCCUGCCCUCUCCGUCCCUGGAGAACUCCAGCUUCAGGCACAUCAUGAUUUCUAAGAAAAAUACAGUGCUUCUUUCAUCCCCCGCCGAGACUUGAGGACCAGCUGGGACUUCAAGGGGAGCUUGCAAUUAGGGGAAAUGGAGACUGUUACUUUCUGUCUCCAGGCCAGUUGUGCCCCACUUCAUGGUGACAGGUAACUAUCAUGCAUGAUGGAGCCCUGCUUACUGAAGAUGGCUGAACUGACGGCCUGCUGAUGGGAAGUGGUGAAUAGUUUUCUUGUUUUGCUCUUCUUGUGUGCACAGCUUUUUCUUUACCUAUUAAACUGUCUUUAUCUCAACCCAUGAGCUUUCUCACUUCUGCCCUUCCAAUUCUGUCCCCUAUCCCAAUGCAGGGGGCAGUAAGCCAGCAGCUGUGUGGUGUUUAGUUGCUGGCUGGGGUUAAACCAUGACAUCAUGUUUCUGUUGAGUACUAAUAUUUGCUGUUACAGAUUUGUCACAUGCCUUAUGCUGGCAAUUUCUCUAACAGGCCUACCCACCAUUCUUUUGUUCAGUUUCCUAAUCCUGUUCCUCUGAUGAGCUUUCACACCUGAUCCACAAAUGUUUCCCAGACUGAUUCAUCCAUUUAUCAGUCACCUUACAUGGAUCCUUAUUUGAAAUGAUCUUCCAGUCUCCUGACUUCUACCACCUUUUGGCUCAAGCAUAUAUCCAGAAUUGUAUCACCUGCACACAAUGAUCUGAAUCUCAAACCACCCAUCCUUUUAUCACCUCAUGAUCUCGAAAAUCACUUGUAAGCCCACAACACAUGUGGGAUCACCUGCCCAGAAGUUUGUCCCCACAGAUGUUCAGGGCUGCACACCCAAUGCACCAUCUUCCACUUAACUUUGAACUUGCAACAGUGAACCAAAUUUUGCUUAUGGUGAAAUUACGCAUUCAUGCUUCAAACCCCUC
Long non-coding RNA from Falco peregrinus (peregrine falcon), 960 nucleotides. RefSeq lists it as uncharacterized. NCBI's taxonomy places the organism in Eukaryota, Metazoa, Chordata, Aves, Falconiformes, Falconidae. The transcript is spliced from 3 exons. The record is from RefSeq and is a predicted model, not a curated record.